CCUACGGGAGGCAGCAGUGGGGAAUCUUGCGCAAUGGGCGAAAGCCUGACGCAGCAACGCCGCGUGCGGGAAGAAGGCCCUCGGGUUGUAAACCGCUUUCAGCAGGAACGAAAAUGACGGUACUUGCAGAAGAAGGUGCGGCCAACUACGUGCCAGCAGCCGCGGUGACACGUAGGCACCAAGCGUUGUCCGGAUUUAUUGGGCGUAAAGAGCUCGUAGGCGGUUCGGUAAGUCGGGUGUGAAAACUUUGGGCUUAACCCAAAGCCUGCAUCUGAUACUGCUGUGACUAGAGUUCGGUAGGGGAGCGGGGAAUUCCUAGUGUAGCGGUGAAAUGCGCAGAUAUUAGGAGGAACACCGGUGGCGAAGGCGCCGCUCUGGGCCGAUACUGACGCUGAGGAGCGAAAGCGUGGGUAGCAAACAGGAUUAGAUACCCUGGUAGUCCACGCCGUAAACGUUGGGCACUAGGUGUGGGUUUCAACCAACGAAAUCCGCGCCGUCGCUAACGCAUUAAGUGCCCCGCCUGGGGAGUACGGCCGCAAGGUUAAAACCUCAAAGGAAUUGACGGG
RNAcentral lists this ribosomal RNA (566 nucleotides) under uncultured bacterium. RNAcentral's name for it is "bacterial SSU rRNA". It matches the Rfam family "Bacterial small subunit ribosomal RNA", at positions 338 to 917 of the family's 1533-position model. The record is from RNAcentral.